GGGAGUCCGAAAUCAUCUUCAAACUAAUCUAUGCUGUAUUGGAAAAUUGGAAUGGCUAUUUAGAAAGUACAAUGGCAAAAUUUCAACUCUAUGUUUAUUAAACCUAAUUUCCUCUAAAUCCCUGCUGAUGAAAUUAUGUCUCCUGUCUCUUAGGAAUCAAAAGCUUCUCUAGAGGAUAAACUAAAAGAAGCUAAAUAAACAUCACCAGACUUGAAUGGAUGGCUUAUUGCAAUUCUGCCUUUACUGAGGAGUCUGCCUGGCCUCCAGAAUGUGAACUUUUGAAACAUGAAGUCUAUGAAAAGUUAAAGUUACAGAGGAAUAGCCACAAAGUCCAGAAAAAGUCAGAAUAAUUUAUUCUAAUAUUGGUCCACCCUCAUUGCAAAUAUUUAACAUUUUUUUCAGAUUUUAGUUAACUGUACCUCUUACCAGGUGAUAAUGACUAACUAUGAUGAUGAUAAGCCACUAAUAUUUGUAGAGUGAUUUAUUGUUGACACAAUGUUCCUAAGACGUGAGAAGAGGUAUGCCUUGGUACUCUAUUAAAAUUCCUACCCUAUAUUUGUUGGUUUUCUUCUCUAGAUGUUUUAGUCUUGUUGUACUAUUUUUAUUUUCAAGAAAUAAAUGAACCUUAAGGAAUGACUUGAUCGGCCAGACGCAGUGGCUCACACCUGUAAUCCCAGCACUUUGGGAGGCCAAGGUGGGCAGAUCACGAGGUCAAGAGAUCAAGAUUAUCCUGGCCAACAUGGUGAAACCCGAUCUCUACUAAGAAUACAAAAAUUAGCUGGGCAUGGUAGCACGCACCUAUAGUCCCAGCUACUCAGGAGGCUGAGGCAGGAUAAUCACUUGAACCCAGGAGGCAGAAGUUGCAGUGAGCCGAGAUCACACCACUGCACUCAAGCCUGGUGACAGAGUAAGACUCCGUCUAAAAAAAUAAAAGAACGACUUGAUCAUCUGUAUACUUGCACCUGAGAAUCAGAAGACUCGCUUCCACUCAGCUUUUACAAUUAUGAAAAUCAAUUCUGUUUUAUUCCUUGGCUUCUAAAGUUUUAGAAUCCAGUGAGUUGGAGUCCUACUGAAUGGUUAGGUACUUUAGCCUCCUUUUUGUCAUUCAUUUUUUUCAUUAAGCAAUUAUGUGUUCACCAAGUACUAUGUACUUGGCAUUGUCUAGAUGUUGAAGUUUCAUAGUAAAUAAAUCCAGAGUCCUUGAUCUCAAGGACGAUAUCGUAUCAGAAAUUUAAAAUAAUACAAUCCAAGGAGGACAAUGUGAAUAAAGACCUUUCAAAGUGUUGUGAGAGUCUAAAUGAAUUAAGUGUUAACUCUGUGGGGUUCCUACCUUGAAUCUCUUUGGAAUAAAAUAAGGCCUAAAUAAAGACAAUAGAGCAGACUGGAAUAAGGUGUCAUAGAAAGCAUCAGAGAUGUUACAUGCAAGGAAUUCUUGAAAACAAGCAGAAUUUUUAGCCAAGAAAAGGAGUAUAUAAGAUGGAAAGAAGAUUCAGGUGAACAAAUCGUAGGCAAAAGAAAGAAUGUGAACAAAGGCAUGUCAGCAGGAAGGACUGACGUGGGUCUUUUUUCCAAAGCACUGGGCAGGCAGGGUCAAAGUGCUCAGAGCAAGAGGGAGUAAGCCUGGGAAAAAAGUUGGGUCCAAUCAUGAUUUCCUUAGUGUGUCAGGCUACAGAGCCCUAACGUAUUCUGCAU
Molecule: long non-coding RNA, 1692 nt
Organism: Callithrix jacchus (white-tufted-ear marmoset)
Lineage: Eukaryota; Metazoa; Chordata; Mammalia; Primates; Cebidae
Source: Ensembl